This 566-nucleotide ribosomal RNA is filed under the name uncultured bacterium. RNAcentral's name for it is "bacterial SSU rRNA". It matches the Rfam family "Bacterial small subunit ribosomal RNA", at positions 338 to 916 of the family's 1533-position model. The record is from RNAcentral.
CCUACGGGAGGCAGCAGUGGGGAAUUUUCCGCAAUGGGCGAAAGCCUGACGGAGCAAUACCGCGUGAAGGAAGACGGCCUAUGGGUUGUAAACUUCUUUUUUCAGGGAGGAACUCAAUGACGUGUACCUGAAGAAUAAGCAUCGGCUAACUCCGUGCCAGCAGCCGCGGUAAGACGGAGGAUGCAAGUGUUAUCCGGAAUCACUGGGCGUAAAGCGUCUGUAGGUGGUUUAGUAAGUCGACUGUUAAAUCUUGGGGCUCAACCUCAAAAUCGCAUUCGAAACUAUUAGACUUGAGUAUAGUAGAGGUAAAGGGAAUUUCCAGUGGAGCGGUGAAAUGCGUAGAUAUUGGAAAGAACACCGAUGGCGAAGGCACUUUGCUGGGCUAUUACUGACACUCAGAGACGAAAGCUAGGGUAGCAAAUGGGAUUAGAUACCCCAGUAGUCCUAGCCGUAAACAAUGGAUACUAGAUGUUGGACAGAUCGACCUGUGCAGUAUCAAAGCUAACGCGUUAAGUAUCCCGCCUGGGGAGUACGGCCGCAAGGCUAAAACUCAAAGGAAUUGACGG